Molecule: ribosomal RNA, 311 nt
Filed under: uncultured bacterium
Lineage: Bacteria
Description: bacterial SSU rRNA
Rfam family: Bacterial small subunit ribosomal RNA
Source: RNAcentral
GAUGAACGCUGGCGGCGCGCCUAACACAUGCAAGUCGAACGAGCGAGAGAGAGCUUGCUUUCUCGAGCGAGUGGCGAACGGGUGAGUAACGCGUGAGGAACCUGCCUCAAAGAGGGGGACAACAGUUGGAAACGACUGCUAAUACCGCAUAAGCCCACGACCCGGCAUCGGGUUGAGGGAAAAGGAGCAAUCCGCUUUGAGAUGGCCUCGCGUCCGAUUAGCUAGUUGGUGAGGUAACGGCCCACCAAGGCAACGAUCGGUAGCCGGACUGAGAGGUUGAACGGCCACAUUGGGACUGAGACACGGCCCAG